UGCCUCCCCUUUACCACCUCUUCCCCGUCAACAUGGAGAGAAUGAACCGGGAAAAGAUGUUUCUGUUUCUGUGGAUCGUGUCCUGGUUUGGCUGUGGGAACUCGGUGACCGUCAGGCAGACUCCACCCGCACUCUCCGCCAUGCCCGGCAGCGGAAUGGAGUUACAGUGCACGGCGGAUGGAGGGGGUAAUACUGAUUACAUGUACUGGUACAGACAGUACCCGGGGAGUGGCCCUCAGCUCCUGAUCUACUCGAUAAACAACGCGCAUGCUGAACCGAAGGAAACAGCGGACGGGUUAACGGCCCAGAGGAAGGACAACCAGUUCAACCUGAUUUCUAAAAAUUUGACUGCGAAUCACUCGGCUCGUUAUUUCUGCGCCUGGAGGCUACACAGCCGCCCGAACAGAUGGUGA
Molecule: non-coding RNA, 413 nt
Organism: Hypanus sabinus (Atlantic stingray)
Lineage: Eukaryota; Metazoa; Chordata; Chondrichthyes; Myliobatiformes; Dasyatidae
Source: the annotation of a RefSeq genome assembly